UUGUGGUUAAAAAGCUCGUAGUUGGACCUCGGCGGACUGAGGGCGGUUUGCUUGCUAGUAUUACUGCCCUAUAGUCCGUAGUUUUGCCAGAGGUUUCGGGGUGCUCUUAGUCGAGUGUCCCGGGAUGCUGGCAGGUUUACUUUGAAAAAAUUAGAGUGCUCAAAGCAGGCUAUUACGCCUGAAUAUUCGUGCAUGGAAUAAUAGAAUAGGAAGUCGUUUCUAUUUUGUUGGUUUUCGGAAAUCGACUUAAUGAUUAAUAGGGACAGUCGGGGGCAUUUGUAUUCAAACGACAGAGGUGAAAUUCUUGGACCGUUUGAAGACAAACUACUGCGAAAGCAUUUGCCAAGAAUGUUUUCAUUAAUCAAGAACGAAAGUUAAAGGUUCGAAGGCGAUUAGAUACCGCCCUAGUUUUAACCAUAAACGAUGCCAGCUAGCGAUCUGCGGACGUUUUUUUUGUAGACUCCGCAGGAAGCUUCCGGGAAACCAAAGCAUUUGGGUUCCAGGGGAAGUAUGGUUGCAAAGCUGAAACUUAAAAGGAAUUGACGGAUAGGGCACCACCAGGAGUGGAGCCUGUGGCUUAAUUUGACCCAACACGGGAAAUCUCACCAGGCCCGGACCCUGGAAGGAUUGACAGAUUGAUAGCUCUUUCU
RNAcentral lists this ribosomal RNA (650 nucleotides) under uncultured marine eukaryote. RNAcentral describes it as "SSU rRNA". It matches the Rfam family "Eukaryotic small subunit ribosomal RNA", at positions 613 to 1262 of the family's 1831-position model. The record is from RNAcentral.